RNAcentral lists this microRNA precursor (109 nucleotides) under Olea europaea subsp. europaea. Lineage: Eukaryota; Viridiplantae; Streptophyta; Magnoliopsida; Lamiales; Oleaceae. The record is from RNAcentral.
GGGUGAAUUGCCGGGCAAAUCUCCUUUGGCAGUAAGCUAAAUAAUACAGCCAUAUAUAGUAGAGUCAAGUAGCCUACUGCCAAUGGAGUAAUCGCCCUGUAAUGCAUCC